UUUUACAAUUAUAUGUGCGUACAUCACCCAAUCUCAUCUGAUAUCAGAAGCUAAGCUAAGCAGAGUCAGGCCUGGUUAGUCCAGGGAGAGGAAACCAAAAGAGAAUAGCAUGGAUCUUCAGAU
Molecule: ribosomal RNA, 123 nt
Filed under: Pogona vitticeps (central bearded dragon)
Lineage: Eukaryota; Metazoa; Chordata; Lepidosauria; Squamata; Agamidae
Source: RNAcentral